AUGUAAUUUCAGAUUCCUCCACUUUUGGUCCCUCAUUUUACGUGCCAAGUAUGCAGAUUCUGUUGACGUGGUGGAAUGAGGGACAAAAAGUGGAAGAAUAUGAAAUUACAU
Medicago truncatula (barrel medic) is the source of this 111-nucleotide microRNA precursor. It matches the Rfam family "MIR5284 microRNA precursor family". The record is from Rfam. NCBI's taxonomy places the organism in Eukaryota, Viridiplantae, Streptophyta, Magnoliopsida, Fabales, Fabaceae.